AGGGGUGUAGCUCAGUUGGUAGAGCAGCCGAUUCCAAAUCGGCAGGUCCUGGGUUCAAGUCCCUGCGCCCCUG
This 73-nucleotide transfer RNA is filed under the name Pseudomonadota bacterium. RNAcentral describes it as "tRNA-Trp". It matches the Rfam family "tRNA". Rfam says of the family: Transfer RNA (tRNA) molecules are approximately 80 nucleotides in length. Lineage: Bacteria; Pseudomonadati; Pseudomonadota. RNAcentral also lists the same sequence under 1 other name. The record is from RNAcentral.